This 888-nucleotide ribosomal RNA is filed under the name uncultured Staphylococcus sp. RNAcentral's name for it is "bacterial SSU rRNA". It matches the Rfam family "Bacterial small subunit ribosomal RNA", at positions 28 to 897 of the family's 1533-position model. The record is from RNAcentral. Lineage: Bacteria; Bacillati; Bacillota; Bacilli; Caryophanales; Staphylococcaceae.
GAUGAACGCUGGCGGCGUGCCUCAUACAUGCAAGUCGAGCGAACGGACGAGAAGCUUGCUUCUCUGAUGUUAGCGGCGGACGGGUGAGUAACACGUGGAUAACCUACCUAUAAGACUGGGAUAACUUCGGGAAACCGGAGCUAAUACCGGAUAAUAUUUUGAACCGCAUGGUUCAAAAGUGAAAGACGGUCUUGCUGUCACUUAUAGAUGGAUCCGCGCUGCAUUAGCUAGUUGGUAAGGUAACGGCUUACCAAGGCAACGAUGCAUAGCCGACCUGAGAGGGUGAUCGGCCACACUGGAACUGAGACACGGUCCAGACUCCUACGGGAGGCAGCAGUAGGGAAUCUUCCGCAAUGGGCGAAAGCCUGACGGAGCAACGCCGCGUGAGUGAUGAAGGUCUUCGGAUCGUAAAACUCUGUUAUUAGGGAAGAACAUAUGUGUAAGUAACUGUGCACAUCUUGACGGUACCUAAUCAGAAAGCCACGGCUAACUACGUGCCAGCAGCCGCGGUAAUACGUAGGUGGCAAGCGUUAUCCGGAAUUAUUGGGCGUAAAGCGCGCGUAGGCGGUUUUUUAAGUCUGAUGUGAAAGCCCACGGCUCAACCGUGGAGGGUCAUUGGAAACUGGAAAACUUGAGUGCAGAAGAGGAAAGUGGAAUUCCAUGUGUAGCGGUGAAAUGCGCAGAGAUAUGGAGGAACACCAGUGGCGAAGGCGACUUUCUGGUCUGUAACUGACGCUGAUGUGCGAAAGCGUGGGGAUCAAACAGGAUUAGAUACCCUGGUAGUCCACGCCGUAAACGAUGAGUGCUAAGUGUUAGGGGGUUUCCGCCCCUUAGUGCUGCAGCUAACGCAUUAAGCACUCCGCCUGGGGAGUACGACCCGCAGGUUUG